GUAUCGGUAGCUCAACUGGCAGAGCGUCGGUCUCCAAAACCGAAGGUUGAGGGUUCGAUUCCUUCUCGAUAUGCCA
This 76-nucleotide transfer RNA is filed under the name Moraxellaceae bacterium. Its description in RNAcentral is "tRNA-Trp". It matches the Rfam family "tRNA". Rfam says of the family: Transfer RNA (tRNA) molecules are approximately 80 nucleotides in length. Their secondary structure includes four short double-helical elements and three loops (D, anti-codon, and T loops). Further hydrogen bonds mediate the characteristic L-shaped molecular structure. tRNAs have two regions of fundamental functional importance: the anti-codon, which is responsible for specific mRNA codon recognition, and the 3' end, to which the tRNAs corresponding amino acid is attached (by aminoacyl-tRNA synthetases). tRNAs cope with the degeneracy of the genetic code in two manners: having more than one tRNA (with a specific anti-codon) for a particular amino acid; and 'wobble' base-pairing, i.e. permitting non-standard base-pairing at the 3rd anti-codon position. Lineage: Bacteria; Pseudomonadati; Pseudomonadota; Gammaproteobacteria; Moraxellales; Moraxellaceae. The record is from RNAcentral.